RNAcentral lists this long non-coding RNA (287 nucleotides) under Ananas comosus (pineapple). Its description in RNAcentral is "long non-coding RNA (ACOM_LNC003046)". Lineage: Eukaryota; Viridiplantae; Streptophyta; Magnoliopsida; Poales; Bromeliaceae. The record is from RNAcentral.
UUCACGCAGCCGAGGCAGGUGUUUCCAGUGUGGCCAGGAGGACUACUUUCAGUCGGACUGUCUGAGGAGUCCAUUGCCAGCACCAUCUUCGGCAUCUGCACCAGCAUCACCAGGUCCUAGUCAUGGGACAAUUUUUGCGCAUCACCAGGUAGGACGGCCGCCAGUUCAGCGGCAGGCGGAGGGGUCACGACAGGCCCCGAGCGGGCGCAUGUACGCGGCCCAGACUGAGGAGGCGGCGGCAGCCGAGAAUGUGGUCGCAGGUAUCAUUUUACUUUAUGGUAUUCGAG